Asparagus officinalis (garden asparagus) is the source of this 799-nucleotide long non-coding RNA. RefSeq lists it as uncharacterized. Lineage: Eukaryota; Viridiplantae; Streptophyta; Magnoliopsida; Asparagales; Asparagaceae. The record is from RefSeq and is a predicted model, not a curated record. The transcript is spliced from 2 exons.
AUUGAUUGCUGUACAAAUUCAAGGGCUGUUUCCUGUCCUGUGACCCGUCAGGUUAUCAAUUUUGCAGUUGUGCCUCCACCACAGGGGCUUUUGAUUCUCAUGGCACUAGUGAAGCUCAGUCUAGUAUCAUUACUGUCUUGUACAUCAAAUGAUGCCCAUUUGUCGGUUUAUUGUUGUAUCAGUAGAAUGUUUGAACUGUUGUAUCAGUUUAUUCUUUUUUGCGAGGGAUUGGAUAGUCAUGUGACGUCUGGACUUGUUGGAUCAAGAAAGAUAAUAAGAUGCAAAGGGUUCAACCUGUGCCUUAUCACUUGCAGACCUGGAUUUAUUUUGCAGUGAGUGCAAAUAAUGUGUUUGAUUACCUCGUCCUUUGUAAGCUCAAGAGUAAUCCAAGCUAAACAUUCCCACCUAUAUUUGCACUGAGUACGAAUAGAUAUAUUAAACUAAAGCCUGUGGACUGUAGCUCUAAGAUCAUCAGUUCUGACAAAUUAUCAUUGAUGUGAUCUCCUAUUUGUAAUUUCUCGCUGGUGUUGCUAUGCUAGUUGGAUGGUUACCGAAGGUGUUGAGGUUUGGAAUCUCUGGAUGAUUAUUAAAGGUGUUAGCUCCAGGCUCAAUCAACAAAUGUUGUCAAUUUAACAGUUCUAUUGUACCUCCUGGUGAAUAGAGAAUCACCACAAGCCUCAUAGUUUUGGCAGCCUAAUUCAUGCUGCAAAAGGAGAUGGGCAUGAAGUGAGUAAGGAACAUUUAUAAGCUUAAAGUAGAUGAGAAGGAGGUUAGCUACCAAGCGCACAAUGCUUAAAAA